UGGCGGACGGGUGAGUAAUGUCUGGGAAACUGCCCGAUGGAGGGGGAUAACUACUGGAAACGGUAGCUAAUACCGCAUAACGUCGCAAGACCAAAGAGGGGGGCCUUCGGGCCUCUUGCCAUCGGAUGUGCCCAGAUGGGAUUAGCUAGUAGGUGGGGUAACGGCUCACCUAGGCGACGAUCCCUAGCUGGUCUGAGAGGAUGACCAGCCACACUGGAACUGAGACACGGUCCAA
RNAcentral lists this ribosomal RNA (235 nucleotides) under uncultured bacterium. RNAcentral's name for it is "partial 16S ribosomal RNA". It matches the Rfam family "Bacterial small subunit ribosomal RNA", at positions 96 to 334 of the family's 1533-position model. The record is from RNAcentral.